RNAcentral lists this ribosomal RNA (411 nucleotides) under uncultured bacterium. RNAcentral describes it as "bacterial SSU rRNA". It matches the Rfam family "Bacterial small subunit ribosomal RNA", at positions 370 to 772 of the family's 1533-position model. The record is from RNAcentral.
AAUGGGGGAAACCCUGACGCAGCAACGCCACGUGAGUGAGGAAGGCCUUCGGGUUGUAAAGCUCUGUCCUAAGGGAAAAAUGGUAGUUGGUCUAAUAGGCCAAUUAAUUGAUGGUACCUUAGAAGAAAGCGCCGGCUAACUUCGUGCCAGCAGCCGCGGUAAUACGAAGGGUGCAAGCGUUGUUCGGAUUUAUUGGGCGUAAAGCGCGCGCAGGCGGAAAAGCAAGUCAGAUGCGAAAUCUCGGGGCUUAACCCCGAACGUGCGUCUGAAGCUACUUUUCUAGAGUAGCGAAGGGGGAAGGGGAAUUUCACAUGUAGGGGUAAAAUCCGUAGAGAUGUGAAGGAACACCAGAGGCGAAGGCGCCUUCCUGGUCGCUAACUGACGCUGAGGCGCGAAAGCGUGGGGAUCAAA